AAUAGAUACCCGGGUAGUCCACGCCGUAAACGAUGAGUGCUAGGUGUUAGGGGGGUCCAACCCCUUAGUGCUGAAGUUAACACAUUAAGCACUCCGCCUGGGGAGUACGACCGCAAGGUUGAAACUCAAAGGAAUUGACGGGGGGCCCGCACAAGCAGUGGAGCAUGUGGUUUAAUUCGAAGCAACGCGAAGAACCUUACCAGGUCUUGACAUCCUCUGACAACCCUAGAGAUAGGGCGUUCCCCUUCGGGGGACAGAGUGACAGGUGGUGCAUGGUUGUCGUCAGCUCGUGUCGUGAGAUGUUGGGUUAAGUCCCGCAACGAGCGCAACCCUUGAUGUUAGUUGCCAGCAUUCAGUUGGGCACUCUAACGUGACUGCCGGUGACAAACCGGAGGAAGGUGGGGAUGACGUCAAAUCAUCAUGCCCCUUAUGACCUGGGCUACACACGUGCUACAAUGGGCGGUACAAAGGGCAGCGAAACCGCGAGGUGGAGCCAAUCCCAUAAAGCCGCUCUCAGUUCGGAUUGCAGG
RNAcentral lists this ribosomal RNA (530 nucleotides) under uncultured bacterium. RNAcentral describes it as "bacterial SSU rRNA". It matches the Rfam family "Bacterial small subunit ribosomal RNA", at positions 777 to 1304 of the family's 1533-position model. The record is from RNAcentral.